This 501-nucleotide ribosomal RNA is filed under the name uncultured bacterium. RNAcentral describes it as "partial 16S ribosomal RNA". It matches the Rfam family "Bacterial small subunit ribosomal RNA", at positions 30 to 523 of the family's 1533-position model. The record is from RNAcentral.
AUUGAACGCUGGCGGCAGGCUUAACACAUGCAAGUCGAGCGGAGAGAGGUAGCUUGCUACUGAUCUUAGCGGCGGACGGGUGAGUAAUGCUUAGGAAUCUGCCUAUUAGUGGGGGACAACAUUUCGAAAGGAAUGCUAAUACCGCAUACGUCCUACGGGAGAAAGCAGGGGAUCUUCGGACCUUGCGCUAAUAGAUGAGCCCAGGUCGGAUUAGCUAGUUGGUGGGGUAAAGGCCUACCAAGGCGACGAUCUGUAGCGGGUCGGAGAGGAUGAUACGCCACACUGGGACUGAGACACGGCCCAGACUCCUGCGGGAGGCAGCAGUGGGGAAUAUUGGACAAUGGGCGGAAGCCUGAUCUAGCCAUGCCGCGUGUGUGAAGAAGGCCUUAUGGUUGUAAAGCACUUUAAGCGAGGAGGAGGCUACUUUAGUUAAUACCUAGAGAUAGUGGACGUUACUCGCAGAAUAAGCACCGGCUAACUCUGUGCCAGCAGCCGCGGUAA